AUUGAACGCUGGCGGCAUGCUUUACACAUGCAAGUCGAACGGUAACAGGCCGCGAGGUGCUGACGAGUGGCGAACGGGUGAGUAAUGCAUCGGAACGUGCCCAGUCGUGGGGGAUAACUACUCGAAAGAGUAGCUAAUACCGCAUACGAUCUAUGGAUGAAAGCGGGGGACCGUAAGGCCUCGCGCGAUUGGAGCGGCCGAUGUCAGAUUAGGUAGUUGGUGGGGUAAAGGCUCACCAAGCCAACGAUCUGUAGCUGGUCUGAGAGGACAACCAGCCACACUGGGACUGAGACACGGCCCAGACUCCUACGGGAGGCAGCAGUGGGGUAUUUUGGACAAUGGGCGCAAGCCUGAUCCAGCAAUGCCGCGUGCAGGAAGAAGGCCUUCGGGUUGUAAACUGCUUUUGUACGGAACGAAACGGCUCUGGUUAAUACCCGGGGCUAAUGACGGUACCGUAAGAAUAAGCACCGGCUAACUACGUG
Molecule: ribosomal RNA, 482 nt
Filed under: uncultured bacterium
Lineage: Bacteria
Description: partial 16S ribosomal RNA
Rfam family: Bacterial small subunit ribosomal RNA
Source: RNAcentral